RNA transcript from Lolium rigidum, 3321 nucleotides. RefSeq lists it as uncharacterized. NCBI's taxonomy places the organism in Eukaryota, Viridiplantae, Streptophyta, Magnoliopsida, Poales, Poaceae. The record is from RefSeq and is a predicted model, not a curated record. The transcript is spliced from 6 exons.
AAGAAAUCUCUUACCCUAUCCGCACACAUCAUCUCUUCUUCCUCUCCUCUUACCAAAUUCCCAAAUGUGUUUGCCUCAGCCGCUGGACUUCUCCACCCUGGUGCCGCUGCUCCCUAAUCAAUCUCACUGGUGCCGCUGUUCUCGCCCAUCUCUGACCUUCUACUCCGGUGCCUCUUCGUCCCGCACCCUUUCUUCCCCGGCUGGAGGGUGCACAUCGGGGAUGAGGAGCACGCAGGGAACUCGAGGUCGCGCCGGAGCCCGGAUGCGUGGCUGCGCGCAGUGAGGAACACGACAUCCUCUCGCCCGUCCCCUCUUCUACCUGGGAGCUUCCCGUGGGACGAGCAGGUUUUCUCUCUUGACUCCUGGACUUGGACGCAGACCUGGCUGUGCGUGUGGCCGUGGGGGUUGGCCGGUGGCACGGUUGGCGGCGGCCGCUCGUCUAUUUACUGCCGCACGCAGGCACGCCGAGGCCGUGUGCAAUGAGGAACACUGCAUCCUCUCGCCUUUCUUCAAGUUCCAAACUAUUCGCAGGUGCACUGCUGAAAAUUCAGUAGAACAUGGUGCUCCUCGAAAUACUGGUCAUCUGGAACUUCGGCAACCUUUGGCUUUUCAAGUUUGGCAGUCCGUUAAAAAGCAACUCUAUCCAACUGAGAAGAUCACUAUACUUACCAAUGGACCUCUUACAAAUUGGGCCAACAUUGUUCUCUCUGACAAGAAUGCAAGUCCUGUAAUAGAGAGUGUAUAUGUUGUUGGAGGACAUGCCAGAGAUGAAAAUGAUUAAAACGGAAACGUGUUCACUAUUCCAUGUAAUAGAUAUGCGGAAUUUAAUACAUUUCUUGAUCCCUUAGCUGUGAUAGUAGUUCUAGAGUGCACUCUGGAUAUUACAUUGAUUCCCCUCAGCUCUCAGAGAAAAGUGCUUCCUUUCCACCUCUCCUUGAAGCACUAAAGCAUGCUCAACAUACUCCAGAAUCAAGUUUUGUCCUCCACUUAUUGUCAUUGCUUCCUUUCCACGUCAUCUUUCCAUCCUUCCAUUGCGUCUUGAAGAGCAAUGUUCAGGUAGAAUGAUAUUUCUGUGAUGGGUCCUGUUUUAUGCAUGUUCAUGCUAGGAAUGGGAUCAAGCAGAGUAUUAUGACAGGUUUUACAGGGAAAUAAUCAGCCUUUGGAUACACAUAUUAUCUAGGGACAUUUCACUGUGGGACUAUAUGUUAUAAUCAACCUUAGUAUAGGAUCCACCCUAAUAUUUUAUUAUCUGAAUUCACCUACAUGCUACACUAUUUAUACGGCACUGGCAACUAACAUGGAAUUUCCUUUGAUGUUUUGUAUGUACCACAAAUUUAGCACAUUUCGGGCAAAUGAAAUAAACCUUUGAAUAAGCAUAUUUAGAGGGGAGACAACCAUUAUAGGAUCCACCCUAAUAUUUCAUUAUCUGAAUUCACCUACAUGCUACAGUAUCUAUACGGCAGUGGCAACUAACAUGGAAUUUACUUUUGAUGUUUUUAUGUACCACAAACUUAGCACAUGUAUGGCAAAUGAAAUAAAUCAGUGAAUCGGCACAUUUGAGGCAAAAGUCAACAUCAUCUACUUUGGGUCAAGGGAUAUGCAGGAGCUGCAAAAGCUUUUGCAAUUCCAUGAAAGAAAAGAAGAGUUACAAAAGAUUGUUAAUCCAUGCCAUGAACACAUCAGCAUGUUUACUCCUCACGCUAUGCACAUGUAUGGUGGACUCAUGAAUAAGCACAUUCAGAUGUAUUGUAACUGAAAGUGUACUCCUCACGCUAUGCACAUGUAUGGUGGACUCAUGAAUAAGCACAUUCAGAUGUAUUGUAACUGAAAUACUACCUGGUGUUAUCCAAGCCCUCCAUGGUUGCUGCUGCUGCUGUCUACACAGCCAGGCUCACACCUAAAAACAUACCUCUGUGGACCGACAUGCUCAAGCAUCAUACUGGAUUCAGUGAAUCACACUACUACUGCUGCCUACAUGGUGUGGUGCGACCCCAUAGGAAAACAUCAUCUUUCCAUCCUUCUAUUGCGUCUUGUAGAGCAAUGUUCAGGUAGAAUGAUAUUUCUUUGAGCUUGAAUACAUAUUUGUGAUGGGUGCCUGUUUUAUGUAUGUCCGUGCUAGGAAUGGGAUCAAGUAGAGUAACGGUUCGUUGAUCCAGGUUGAACACAAAUAGAAUGUAGUGUUGGCCAGACAUACGAUAUGGUAUGAAAAUCUGCAUAGAAUAAGCGCAUUGAAUUAUUACCACUGUUGCAACAAAAAUCCUAUUAUUUUCCAAUCGCAGUCUUACCGAGUUGCAGGCUGACACAUGGAACUCCAUCCCCGGCCAGCAGUCACACAUUCUUGCCAUCAUCUGGUGCUUUUGGUCAAACGGUAGACGUUGCUUUGGGUCUCGCAUGGAGUCGGUCACCAUGGUCUGAGAUGAAUUCGUGGAGUCGGUCACCAUGGUCUGAGAUGAGUGUAAGAAUCAUAGGUUGUUAUUUAAGAUAACAUGUGGUUAUCAUUAAUUACGAAGUAAAACAUCAAUACUCACGCAAAAUUUGAGGUCCAUAAUGUGGUAAUUAGUGUCCAUGCACAGCCGGGCUUCGUCUUGGGCGUUUACCCGUACAGCCAUGUUGAAAUAAUCACUAUCUAUACCAGUUGUAUCCUUUAGCAAGUCUUUCAGUUGUUUAAGACUUAUACUAAUUGGAUAGGGCUUGCUGCUUUGAACCUAUAUUUCUCUACGAAACAAAGCACGAAGUUAACCCACAGGAUAAAAAUAACAAUUUGGACUGGUGCAUCGUAUAUAAAUUGGACUUACUUCAUGGCAUCUUCGUCGUUAACACCCAAUAUAUAUUUCCUAAGCUUGGAAAGUAAUUGGCUCUUGUUUAUUCUAUUCUUGGGCAUAUGUGAAGGAGGUUUGGUGUCAUUGUGUACCUUCUUUCCCUGUGAUAAUUCAGUAGGGGGAGGACAAUUCUUAUCCCACAUAAUGACAUCCUCUUUAUCCAAAGCCAAGGUUUGUGUCAGUACACCACCCCAAGGCACAAUUCAGUUUAUGUAUGCUUGCAGCCUAUCCAUAAACUGGUAGAAUACAUCAAGUAUCGAGAGGCUUGCAUCUUCUAAACUUACUGAUGUCUGCUGAUCGUCAUGCAAUCAGGCCUCAUGCCUAAUCUCGGUAUUUUUAGGAGAAGAUGCAGGUCAUGCAUUUUCGUGCAUAUAUCACUGGCAACAUGUUAGCCUAUCCAUAAAGCUCAAUUCUAGAAAUGUAGAUAAACUGAGUGCCCUCUAUGACAUGUGUGCAUUCAUUGCCCAAACGUGAGUGAUCUAAUGAUCUUUGUAAAAUUGUA